Felis catus (domestic cat) is the source of this 85-nucleotide non-coding RNA. The record is from Rfam. NCBI's taxonomy places the organism in Eukaryota, Metazoa, Chordata, Mammalia, Carnivora, Felidae.
GCCUGGGUGGCUCAGUCGGUUGAGCGUCCGACUUCGGCUCAGGUCACCAUCUCGCGGUCUGUGAGUUCGAGCCCCACGUCGGGCU